RNAcentral lists this ribosomal RNA (253 nucleotides) under uncultured bacterium. Its description in RNAcentral is "partial 16S ribosomal RNA". It matches the Rfam family "Bacterial small subunit ribosomal RNA", at positions 524 to 776 of the family's 1533-position model. The record is from RNAcentral.
UACGAAGGGGGCUAGCGUUGCUCGGAAUCACUGGGCGUAAAGGGCGCGUAGGCGGGCUGUCAAGUUUGGGGUGAAAUCCCGCGGCUCAACCGUGGAACUGCCUCAAAUACUGACGGUCUCGAGGGAGGUAGGGGCGAGCGGAACUGAUGGUGGAGCGGUGAAAUGCGUUGAUAUCAUCAGGAACUCCGGUGGCGAAGGCGGCUCGCUGGACCUUUUCUGACGCUGAGGCGCGAAAGCUAGGGGAGCAAACGGG